AUGAACGCUGGCGGCAUGCCUAAUACAUGCAAGUCGAACGAAGAAAUGUUGCUUGAAGGUGCUUGCACCGGAUAGUUGCUUUCUUAGUGGCGAACGGGUGAGUAACACGUAGGUAACCUGCCUAGUAGUUGGGAAUAACAAUGGGAAACCGUUGCUAAUACCGAAUAUGAAUUCGAAGGGCAUCCUUUGAAUUUGAAAGGGGCUUUCAAGCCUCGCUAUUAGAUGGACCUGCGGCGCAUUAGCUAGUUGGUGAGAUAACAGCUCACCAAGGCGAGGAUGCGUAGCCGACCUGAGAGGGUGAUCGGCCACAAUGGGACUGAGACACGGCCCAUACUCCUACGGGAGGCAGCAGUAGGGAGUUUUCGGCAAUGGGGGAACCCUGACCGAGCAAUGCCGCGUGAGUUUAAUGAAGGUCUUAUGGAUCGUAAGGCUCUGUUGUAGGGGAUGAAACGUCUAGGGAGGAAAUGUCCUAGACUUGACAGUACCUUACCAGAAAGCCACGGCUAACUACGUGCCAGCCGCUGC
This 525-nucleotide ribosomal RNA is filed under the name uncultured bacterium. RNAcentral describes it as "bacterial SSU rRNA". It matches the Rfam family "Bacterial small subunit ribosomal RNA", at positions 29 to 518 of the family's 1533-position model. The record is from RNAcentral.